GACGGAGAUUGUUUGAGAGUUCGGAUUUGGAUUUGGGAGGUAAAAACUGUCCCGACCCGCCCCAUUUUCAUGCCUAAUUAUUCUUCACACUCUUCUUCACUACAAAACCUCAAUCAUCACUUUCAUAACAGAACCUCCAAUCUCCUGCAAACAGAAGCAGACCGGAAACACUCAAGAACCAACAAAUCGAUUCUUCACUCAUUCAUUCAUCACUGACUCUCCACAAAUCAUAGAAAUACAAAGUGAUUCACAAGUUCGAUUUAAACCUUCACUCUCAAUCUUUUCAUCACUCUCGCACCGCAUAAUCGAAGAGUUCGACGGAAUCGCAAACAGAAAAGGAAGAAGAAAGAGGAAUCAAAGAAGUCGCAAUGAGUUGAUACUUGUUGUUGUUGGUAGCCACCGCAUUGGAACUCUGUUUCGGUAGGAUAUUCUUCCCCUUCUUGUUCAUUGUUUAUGCGCUUGAAUGAAACACAUUGAUUCCAUGACGCGUUCUGUUCGCGUGAUGCAUCCAAUGUUGAUGAGAGUAUAAGACUCGGGUGGUUCGGGACGGAUCUUGAGAGGAGAAAUGGAGAGUCCGAGGAUGCGAGGAAGGUGAAGUAAGUUCUGCAGCGUUAUAUCUCACGUUUUGGGAUUGAAAUUUUUGACCAGUGUUGAAUCCGGUGGCUUGGUUGUUGGCGUUUGGUCUUGAGGCCCAAACACUUUAUAUUCGCACCCCCGAUCCGCUUUCCAGAUUGUUGGGACAAUUCUGCCUGUGCCUUCACCCCUCGUUUCAUCCAUUAAGGCCCAGUUGAUUUCGUGACACCCGUAUUAGACUCAAAGAAGCUUUCAAAGGAUCAUGGACCCAGGGGAGCAAAGUCAGGUUGUGUUAAGAGAAGAUGUUGGCAUGAUGGAAAACAUACUAGACCAACUCUGAAGAAGGUCAUCCCAACAAUGAGUUAAGACAAGAGUUCAUCCUUAAUUGGAAAUCAUCUGGCUCUUGCAUCAUUUCAUUUGUAUUUCCUUUGCAUGUUGAAUGUUUAUUUGCUUUUAAGUAUUAUUGUUUUCUUUCAAUGGUAAUAUUAAUGAAGUGAUCAUGCAUUUUAUGAAUCAA
Molecule: long non-coding RNA, 1090 nt
Organism: Lathyrus oleraceus (garden pea)
Lineage: Eukaryota; Viridiplantae; Streptophyta; Magnoliopsida; Fabales; Fabaceae
Exons: 2
Source: RefSeq, a predicted model, not a curated record